UCCAUAUGAAAACUUGUUGUUAUCUAUUCCUAAGCAAUAUCUCAUAACUCCUAAGAAGUAGCUCAAGAAUCCGAUCUUCAAACUAUGCGAUAGAAAUCCAUCUACGCCAUCAGAUUCAGCAUAUUCUUUCUUUAAGUUUCUUCACUUUUCUUUGAUUCUUAAAACAUCACCAUGUGACCCAGUCACAUCAUGUAUCAAGAAUCUCAGAAUAGAAACUUAACAGAGUUAGAUAGUGGACUUUACCUGAAGUAGAGUCAAACUUAUUGACUUUAACAUCCUUAGGUAAAUUUGGCAGCUUCGCAACCAAUGCCCCUUCCUUUGGCAAUAUAAACAUAUGGACCCUUUGAUAAUGGUACACGGGACUAUCACAGACUUAGCUUUUCUCUUUACCAUUUGGUCAACCGAGUUGACUAUGGCCGAUCCCUUUCCAUUGGGAAGAGAAUGCUUUACUGGAUAUCCAAUGUCAUCAUUGUCAAUGUCCAUAAAGUUUUAGGAAGUUGAUCUUAGCAAAUAGAUAAGAUCAUUAAGGGUCUUGUCAUAGUCUGUUUCAUAGGUGUCCCAAAGGAACUCACUAUGUGACUUAGAAAGUGGUUGAACCACCAACUUUCUCAAGACUUUGACACCCAACUCUCCCGGCUUGUCAAUAUGUGACUACAUCUCCAAGAUGUGACCACACCUAGACCUUGCCUUGCCAAUAGGGCCUGAGUGACCUUAAACUUUUCAAGAACUUGUGGGUUAGGGAGAAUAAUUUGAAGAGGUGAAGAAGUAUGAUAUCCAUGGGACAUCAUCUUCAUUAGGAAACCUUGUUUCAAGAGAUUUGGGAAGAUCAUAGGUGUCUAAACCAGACAUCUUUUGGGAGAUAUUCAAGAUAGUUGAUUUAAAGUCCUUAAUAUGACACCCAAUAUGAAAUAUUAAGGCUAGGACCCAACAAACUAUUUUAUAACUUAGAAGAGGUAUGCCGUAAUCCAAGCUAUAAAAUAUUUGAAGGUAGGUGAAUGACGAUUCACCAAUUUCCACCAAGAUAAACGAAAUGUAUUAUUAGGUUUUAAUUGGUUUUGAAACUCCUAGAUCUUUGAGAUUCAUUGAACUUUUCAAAGGCAUGUUUCAAUCUCGAGUGUGCCCUUCAGGUUUUGUGACUGGGAUGCCGAGGAUCACAAAACAAGGUGUGAAGUAACCAUGCAAAUCACUUGGUACCCUUAAUAAAUUACCCCUCAAUCGAUGUGCCGGUUAACCACACACGCUCCAUCGAUACUAUGAUAAAUAUUAAGUCACCCUUUACCUACCUUGUUAAGUCCAAGUUAGUGUGCCGGUUAACCACACACGCUCCACUAACGACUUAGACAAAGUGUAAAGUGUAAUUUCAUGGAUUAGCACCUUAUUCACAUUUUUCCUAAGUAACUAAGAUUGGGUAUUAUUAAGAGUUUAGUUACUUAGUAUUAUCAUUAAUACUUUUAAUGAAGGGAGAAUUCUAGUCCUGUCAAACCCGUUCGGCUAACGACCCUCCACCAGUCAAGCAAGCGGUGGGUGAGAGUGGACACCCAUUAAGUUGCCAUUUUAUAGGCAACAACCUUAUACCCACCUUAUAGACCGGCUUCGUGAAUGAGGCGUACUAGCGGUAAGACUGACUUUACUCUUAUACAUAUAUAUAUUAUUAACUUAUAAUAUUAUAAAGUAUAAGGGUUGAAUUUUAACUUUUAAAAUUCUAAGGGCUAACUUGGAAUUAAAGUAUUCAUACUUGAAAACUUUUCAAAUUCCAAAACUUGAGGGCAAGUUUUGAAACUAUUCAAAACUAAUUAAUUCCAUAACUUAUGUGUUUAAAGUAGUUUUAAUCCAAAAACUCUUCAAGUUCCAUAACUUGAGGACAAGUUAUGGAAGACUUUAAACUAAUAAAAGAACUAACUUUUUCUUUAUUUUAUAACUUAUGGAUUUAAUUAUGGUUACAUAUUUUUCUUUAAUGAAGUGACUCUUGAACUUCCAUAACUUGAGGACAAGUUAUGGAGUCAAAAAAAAUUAUUCAAUGACACAAGACUCUUCAUUUUGUAACCAUUGCCAACUUUUAUGAAUUUUAUGAGUCUUUAAUGUGACUCUUCAUGUAACUUGAGGACAAGUUACACAAACACAUUUUAUACUCAACUCUUAGAUUAAAAUGGAUUGAAAACAACUAUUUCACUCAACAUUUCUAUUAAUCUAAGCAACUCAUAAGAACAAGAUAAUUCAAAUCAAACUUUUUCAUGUAAUUAGUCUAAACCUUAAACUAAUACAAAACAUGAAUCUAUUGACAAUUAUCUUUGAAAAUGGAUUAGCAUGAACAUUACCACAUCAAAAACAAGUUUAUAAGUUCAAAAACAACUUAGGGUAAUGUUCCUAGUCCAUUUCUAGCCAAAAAACUCGAAAAUAUGCUGUCUGGGGGUCCAACUCGUCGAGUGCAUGAACAAACUCGGCGAGUUGGAUCGAAUUCAUCACUUUUUAGGCAUGGACUCGUCGAGUCUCCUGAUGGACUCGCCGAGUCUGAUGGCCAGACAGCACCAGAUUCGUUUUUUCAGCUUCUAUUGCAGGUAUAACAAGAAAACAAGCCUAGGCUCUGAUACCACUGUUGGGUUUUGAGCAUUCUAACACUCCUAAGUGUACAUGCAACCCUAAAUACCUUGGAUCUAUGUUUUCUCUAUUAUACAUGCAAAUAAGAACUUCCAAGGUAUUAUCCUAAUCUAGCAUACAAAACAAUGACUAUAGCAAGAUAGAAUACAUACCUCUUUGAUGUAGAAAGUCUUCAUGAAGCUUGAGUGCCUAGUGCCCCAAGUGUGACACCUCAAAUGGAAUCACAAUCAUCAAAACACUUGGAAUGACUUGAGAGAAUUCUACACUCUUCAAAAUCGGCUAGCCCUUUCUUCACUAUCACUAGUGGCCGAUUUUUCCUCAAUAAUAAGAUGCUUAUAUAGUUACACAAUUAGGGUAAACUCUUAAUUGUCAUGGCUUUCCAUUUCCUUGGAUCCAUGGGUACAAAUACACCAUGGAGCAUCCAUGGACCAUCCUAUGGGUUUUAGCCCAACUUGAUUAUCCAUGGAGCAUUAGCCCACUAUACAAGUAUGGAUGAUUUACACAAUCAACCCAUAUAUUUAAUUAGUCUUCUUUUGAUCACUUAAUUAAUCCUAGAUUAAUUCUUGAUCAAUACUAAUUAAAUAAUCUUAUUAUUCUUAUUAUUAAUAUACUAGAACUUAUAAUAUAUUAAUAACCAUAAGUGUCUUAUUUCUCUCAUUAUAGUCUAUCCAAGUGCAUGAUGGUAUGCAACCCAAAUGGACCAUGCCGGGUCGGGUCAAGUCUUACCAAUUAUAGUUAUGGACUUAGACAUUAAUCCAACAGUCUCCCACUUGGAUAAGUCUAAAACUAUUAUUGCGUAUGACUUCAGGAACCAACUGGCAAUCGUAGCUCUCAAAAGCUUCUGUCGAACUCUGACCUUGUAGAUGAACUCUGACCUUUGUCAAUGACUUGUCCAUUAGAUAAGGGAUCAUAUAUUCCUCCAUUCUAGAUAUCAUAUGGACUGAGACAUGGAUUAUAAUCAUUCUCUCUGUCCAUUUGUUGUUUCCCGAUUUCCGAUUUAUGACGACUGACUAAUUGAACAAAUCAAAUCAGUCCUGGCCCGGCCGAGCACUUCCAUUUGUCAUCAUCAAAUCAUCGAGGGGCCCACAGAUAUCGCUUUUAUCCCGAAGGUAAAAGGAAUGGAUAAACUUCGACUCAUAUGGCUUGUUCUACUACUUGUUGAAUCAUACACAAAGGCACGUUUUAUAGCACCGAGUUACCAAAUGCGUUUUCGUGCAAUCAAUGUACUAUCAACUCAUAGUAACAACUCAUAUCUCUAGGUUUGAAGAAUAUAAGAUAUUAUCGUCUCAUGAUCACUCGUGAUAAAAUCCAUGAAGUGAUUCCAAUGAGCGCGGGUUGAAUCCAAUACUCAGAACUUAUGAGCACUCAUGAGUGUUGUAGCCCUUUGUCCAACACCUUAGACCUCUACAAGCCAACCCAUGACAGUCUUAAUUCAUAUCUACUUCCAACAUAUGACCGACUGUGGAUGGUUUGAAUAACUUAGUCAUUCCGGAAGAAUAACCCAGUUUAUUCGGGAAGUCAAAACAUGCAAAAUGAAACACAAUAAUAAUUGAAUCCAAUAUGGUAUCAACCCUUUGAACAUAAAUAAAACACCUUUUAUUUAUCACCAUAUGAUUACACAUUAUUCAUUGUAUACUGUUUCAGCUAUCAACUUUAUUCUUGAAUUUAAAACAAUAGUUGUCCCAUGCUCCAAGCAUGUACACUAUGUUUUCUUAAACACUAGUCAUGCCACACACCAAGUAUGCAUACUAUGUUUGUCUAUGAUCUUUACUUUGUGAACUAGAUCAAUUGAACAUAACUUCAAUGAUUCUCUUUUCACACUCCCAAAUCCUUACUGCAAAUGCAAGAAUUCCAAAUUCAUGCCAUUUACUGAAAUCUGUUAGAUUCUAAACUUAUAUGCAUUGAUCCUCUUGUAAUGAUUAUGCACAAAGUCACAAAGACUUGGCAACAAUCAUUACAGAGUAUUCCAAAGGAGAUCAACUCCUUGGAAAUAUCCUUCUUGCAUUAAGUUUCCUUAAUCUUACACAGAUUGAAAAUUCUAACUUUGAAACAUUUCCAGAUUCCAUUUUGACUAUCACUUCUGAACAAGAGUUGCCUCCUUACAGAUUAUGUCAAUAUGGUCCUUCCAGAAUUAUCACUAUACUUCCAAUUGUCCUUGAGCAACCAAUCUUUGGUAAACCUUAGAUUGUCCUCGACAAUUGUUUAAUCCUUUUAGUCAUAUCCAGUUCUAAACCUUUUCCCUUCUUAAUGCCCCAGGCAUUUGGAAAAUUUUAGAACGGAUGAAUAUAGCACAUGUAAUCGAUCCUAUAUCCGAAGCAUAUGGGACACGAUUCAUGAUGUCUCACAUAAAGACUAAACCAGUCUUUUGCUAUAAUAUUUCCAUUUCAAUUUGCCAAGUUCUCAUAAUUCAGAUUAUGAAAAGGGAUGCCGUAAUCAUAAUCGAAUUUUAGAACGCAAAUAAUGGACCCAUAUACAGAAUUUCCUUAUGUUGAGCCAUUCCAACAUGAAAUUCAUAUAUAUCCUUGACUAAAUGAUUAAAACCUCACGAUCUAAGCUUAUAGAUUUGAGAUGAAGCAUAAUUUCCUCUCCCUUAAUUAUAGCAAAACAACUUUUUCCCAAUUGAAACUUUUGUUUUCUAUAAUUAACAUUGCUAACUUGCAAUACUUAUCAUAAUUAUCAUGCUCCCACUAACAUGAUGAUUAUUAGCAUAACACUUAUGCUCCCACUAGCUUUGACAUGUACUCAGAAAUCAGCUGGACUUCUAGAAAUCAAUACUUCAUUGACUUUCUUACCAAAGUUCAGAUUUCUGAUACUAGAUUGUUUUGAUAAGACUUUAUCAAAAUCAUACACCUUCCCUUAGAUAGCACACUUGUGAGUCUAAACAAUUAUGAAGAGGUAUGCCGUAAUCAUAAUGGUUAGACCUUUUUGCCACUUCUCACAAGUCCAUGUUAGUGUGCCGGUUAACCACACGCGCUCCACUAACGACUUUGAGAAUGCAAAUAUCACAAUUGCUAUCUAGCUAAAAUCUACUUAGUGAAAGUGUUUCCUCACCAUCAUUUUCAUGAAUCGGAGAGAAACCUUAUGACACUUAGAUUUAAUGGUGUAUGUGUUCUUAUCCAUGUGAAUUGUCAAAACCAUAGUCACAAGACAAGGAUAAUGACAAAUCCAAACUCAUAUGGAUUGAACUCAAUCUUAAUUUCUUGCCACCUGGCAGCUCAAGGGCCUGCCAUUGCUUCCAAGUUGUUGUGCAACAAAUUGAGAACUCUAAGAACUCAUAUGCAAAGCCAACUUUAACUGGAAUGGGCACCAAAUAUGUCAACACGAUAGGUUAUAAACCUCAAGUCGUGUGCUAGUGAAGAACUUCAGGUUUUAUUCUUGAUUAGUUCUUGAGACUUUCAAGACCUUUAAGACUCCCACUGUCCUCUUGACCUAUAAGACUCCCUUGUCAAAUAUCCAAGAGAUAGUGUGGAUUCUAAUCAAGACAAACACUUCACACAAUUGGCCUAAGUUGGUCUUUGUUUUAUCCAAAACAUCACAACUUACCAAUUUCAAAUGUACAAGAGUAGAAAACUUUUACUCUUACAUUUGACAAGUGUUUUAAACCUUCUUUAAGACAUGUCACUCAAGUUACAAUCUUGGAGUAUGACUCUAAGACUUGUAUUGGAACGAAGUAUGACUCAUCUUCUUGAUUUAACCAUUUCAACAAUUCAAGUUCCUCUUCUUAGUCAUAAGAAUACACUAAGAUUUCCUUAGAGAACUAACUUUGAUAUGGUUUCUUAAUCAUUAAGAUGAUCACAAAAACUGAUACUAAAGUACUCUCCCAUCUUUUCAAAUUUGAGAAACUUUUACCCCUCUACCUAAGUUGAUUCUUCUUAUUUGCUCUGCCAUACAUUGGAACCUUUUCCAAUGUCUAAGAGUUAUACUUUAGCCUGUAAGUAUAACCAUAUUUACUAAGCUUUAGUAAAUUAUGACGAAUAAUCUUAUCGAUCUUUUGUGGUGGACUUAAUAAGUGCACAAGAAUGUGUACUCGAUCCCUUAGUCCUUUACUUGACUCACACAUCCAUGUGAACAAGUAAUUAGUCUUAAUUUUCCAAAACUUGAAAGUUCUCAUUCAUCAUGCUAUACAACUUGCAUGAUUCCAAGUUCCGGUCCAAUUGAAACUUGGGUGAUGAGAAUCUUUCCUUAUUUGGUAAAUUUAGACAUUACCACAAAUGAAAGAAUCAAUUUCAUAUUUCCACUCUUGCUAUUAAUGGAAUCAUAUAAGCAACAAUUUUUCCUCAAAUGCCAUUGUAAGGAUAUUUUAAAAUAAAUAAAAUCAAAAAUUUUCUUUUAUUUUAAAACUUUGCGGAAAAACUUAUCCUUACAAUCCAUAUGAAAACUUGUUGUUAUCUAUUCCUAAGCAAUAUCUCAUAACUCCUAAGAAGUAGCUCAAGAAUCCGAUCUUCAAACUAUGCGAUAGAAAUCCAUCUACGCGAUCAGAUUCAGCAUAUUCUUUCUUUAAGUUUCUUCACUUUUCUUUGAUUCUUAAAACAUCAACAUGUGACCCAGUCACAUCAUGUAUCAAGAAUCUCAUAUUAGAAACUUAGCAGAGUUAGAUAGUGGACUUUACCUGAAGUAGAGUCAAACUUAUUGACUUCAACAUCCUUAGGUAAAUUUGGCAGAUUCGUAACCAAUGUCCCUUCCUUUGGCAAUAUAAACAUAUGGACCCUUUGAUAAUGGUACACGGGACUAUCACAGACUUAGCUUUUCUCUUUACCAUUUGGUCAACCGAGUUGACUAUGGCCGAUCCCUUUCCAUUGGGAAGAGAAUGCUUUUCUGGAUUUCCUGUGUCACUAUUGUCAAUGUCCAUCAAGUUUUAAGGAAGUUGAUCUUAACAAAUAGAUAAGAUCAUUAAGGGUCUUGUCAUAGUCUGUUUCAUAGGUGUCCCAAAGGAACUCACUAUGUGACUUAGAAAGUGAUUGAACCACCAACUUUCUCAAGACUUUGACACCCAACUCUCCCGGCUUGUCAAUAUGUGACUACAUCUCCAAGAUGUGAUCACACCUAGACCUUGCCUUGCCAAUAGGGCUUGAGUGACCUU
This 7675-nucleotide long non-coding RNA is filed under the name Lactuca sativa (garden lettuce). RNAcentral's name for it is "long non-coding RNA (LSAT_LNC008842)". The record is from RNAcentral. Lineage: Eukaryota; Viridiplantae; Streptophyta; Magnoliopsida; Asterales; Asteraceae.